RNAcentral lists this ribosomal RNA (460 nucleotides) under uncultured bacterium. RNAcentral's name for it is "partial 16S ribosomal RNA". It matches the Rfam family "Bacterial small subunit ribosomal RNA", at positions 338 to 795 of the family's 1533-position model. The record is from RNAcentral.
CCUACGGGGGGCAGCAGUGAGGAAUAUUGGUCAAUGGACGAGAGUCUGAACCAGCCAAGUAGCGUGAAGGAUGACUGCCCUAUGGGUUGUAAACUUCUUUUAUAUGGGAAUAAAACGUUCCACGUGUGGGAUUUUGUAUGUACCAUAUGAAUAAGCAUCGGCUAACUCCGUGCCAGCAGCCGCGGUAAUACGGAGGAUCCGAGCGUUAUCCGGCUUUAUUGGGUUUAAAGGGAGCGUAGGUGGAUUGUUAAGUCAGUUGUGAAAGUUUGCGGCGCAACCGUGAAAUUGCAGUUGAAACUGGCAGUCUUGAGUACAGUAGAGGUGGGCGGAAUUCGUGGUGUAGCGGUGAAAUGCUUAGAUAUCACGAAGAACUCCGAUUGCGAAGGCAGUUCACUGGACUGCAACUGACACUGAGGCUCGAAAGUGUGGGUAUCAAACAGGAUUAGAUACCCCAGUAGUC